Long non-coding RNA from Tachysurus vachellii, 3037 nucleotides. RefSeq lists it as uncharacterized. The record is from RefSeq and is a predicted model, not a curated record. Lineage: Eukaryota; Metazoa; Chordata; Actinopteri; Siluriformes; Bagridae. The transcript has 3 exons.
GAGGAUUAAGACUGCGUGGUGGAAGAGUACAGAGACACAACAGAGGAAGGGGUAUAAGAUGCCAAAGAUACACAGAGAUUCCAGAUGAAAUCAGGGCCACACUGGAGGAUCAUGUUAUCAAUCAUGGCCUUACAGUGGAAGAGGGUCGAAGGGUGCAGCCAAAUGUUGGGAGAACAACUGUGGCAUCAAUAAUUCAAUCAUUUUGUAGAGAGAACAGGACUGCAAGACAACCUCGCAGGGGUGGCAGAGGGCCCCUUUUCACACCUCAGCAGGAGGAAGCUAUUUGCAACAUGGUUAUGUCUAACAAUGCCAUAAGACUAAGGGAGAUACAAAGUGCUAAUUUUGAAGAUGACGGUAUCUUUGAAAAGAUACAAUCUGUGAGCAUUUCAUAUAGACAGGGUCUUGAAAAGACAUGUAAUCACCAUGAAGCAGCUGUACAAUGUACCCUUUUUUGUUUGUACAGCGCAUAAUGGAAAUGGAAUCAAGAGAACAACCUUACAACUUCAUAUACUUGGAUGAGGCUGGCUUCAACCUGGCCAAAGGCAGAAGGCAUGAUGGAAAUCUAAUCGGCCAGAGAGUUACUGUUGUUGUCCCAGGCCAACGUGGAGGAAACAUCACUGUGUGCUGCUAUUUCAGACCAAGGUGUGCUAGCUCAUAUUCCUAUUAUGGGACCGUAGAACACACAGCAUCUCCUUACAUUCUUAGACAAUCUCUAUAGAAAUGUCAUUCCUGAAGAUGAGAGGGACCUCAAUCGAGAUGAUCUACCAAAGUUUGUAGUAAUUUGUGACAAUGUCAGUUUUCAUCACUCUGACAACAUCAGGCAGUGGUUUGUCCACCACCGCAGGAUGCUGAUUGAAUUCCUUCCACCCUUCUCCCCGUUCCUGAACCCAAUUGAAGAGUUUUUCUCGGCUUGGACGUGGAAGGUUUAUGAUCAUCAGCCAUAUACGCAGAUGACACUGCUGGCUGCCAUGGAUGCAGCAUGUGAGGACAUCUCAGCAGAUGCAUGCAGAGGUUGGAUUAGGCACUCAAGAAGAUUCUUUCCACCGUGCAUAGCAAGGGAAAAUAUAUGUUGUGAUGUGGAUAAGAAUCUGUGGCCCAACACACAGGGCCGACAUGACGCAUAGGGAAACUGCCACGUAAUUUCACCUUUACCUUCUGUUGUACAUGUAUAGUUUUUCCCACUUUGUCUUUUUCAGGUUUCCAUUUGUGGGUAAAUAGCCUAUGUGUAGUUUUCUUUGUUUUCUGUAUGUAAGUACCACUAUUGACAGUACAGUGAAAAUGUGAAUACAGUCUGAUCUUUUGUUUCGAUUCUUCCAUAUACUGUUACGUGGGUCGAUGUUGAUUGGUUAGAUGGAAUCAAUCAGAAAAAUUAUCUAUUCAUACCAUGGAAGUUACUGUAACACCUGGUUGAUGCACAAUGGUUUGCAAGAGUAACUUCUUUUUUUACCGGAGGGACACUGUAAAUUAUGACACACACCAGUACGGUAAUUUAGUGGUUUCUAGUCAUCAAAACCUGACUUGAGUAUAAUUUAAAUAACUAAAACUGAGUAUGAUGUUCUACUGACAACAUGACUAAUAAUUUUGCCUGUCACGUUCACAUUGUUGAAAAAAUGACAUGGGAUUCUGCUGCCUCUGACACAAUGAUUGAUGAAAAAACAUGCUUUUGCACGAUAGACAAAGCAUUUUGAGCAGGUGACAUGUAUUUUCCGGUUAUCCACUAUGUUGUGCAGUUUGUACGUGUUGUUUUGAGAAAUGCACUUGGAGAGCUGCAAACUUCAAUUCUGAUCUGAGAAAUGACUGAAAUCAGUUGAGAAAAACUGUAAUAGAAAUCCAUCUAACAGGUAAAUAAAGCAUGAUUCCAUGUAUGUUACAAAGGAAAAUGAUGAUAAAAUUCAGUACAAAGCAAGAAAGGGGUUUUACAAGUCCAUCAUUUAUUGUACUUCAGGAUGAAGUACUGCUGAGGUAAUAGAUAUAGUAUUGAUGGCUGUAGAACCAUGAUAACAUGUAGUGCAAUAUGUAGUAGUACUUUCACUACAAGUUAACAAGCAAGAAUAGAGUACACAUUUUGCUACAUCAAGGUCAUUUGUUCAAGUCAUGUAACAAUCAUUAAUGAGAACAGGACCAGGGUAUGUUCCAGAAGAGUCCUAGUGCACUGGAAACACCUAGCAAUCUUUGUCUUCAGGGUCAAGGUUUGAGCUUGUGAGGGAACCAGAUGGACAAUAUAUAACAGCUCUAGAGAAGAAGCUUUUUCUUAAACUUGUGUGUAGUAAACUUGUGUGAGUGUGUAGUUGGAUUUGUAGUGUUUCCCCUACGAUAAGGGGAUAAAUAGGCAGUGUUCAGGGUGGGAUGGUCCUUUGUGAUGCUCAAGGCUUGCUCAUCUUUAAAAUAGCAGUUUAAUAACGCCUUUAGAAACACAACAACAGCAACACAGAGGCAUUACAUACAUAAUUAAAUGUUUUAGUAGGUCUACUUUUGGGAACCCAAGACAAGUCAAGUCAAGUCACUUUUAUUGUCACAUCACCACAGCACAUGUGCCUUGGUGAGUGAAAUUCUUAGGAGCGAACUCCAGAAAUUGCAGAACAAUUUUACAGAUAAUGAGUUGACAUGUGAAAAUGUGCAAUUUGCUCAUACGUAUAGUCAGUGCAAUAUGUGUGUACAAUAUGUACAAUUUGUUAAUAUGUACAAUUAACAAACAGAUAAUGAAAUCAACAUGUGAACAUGUGCAAUAUGCUCAUACAUAUAGUCAGUACACACAGUGUAGUAUUGACAUCCUUACAGUACAUUAUAUGCAAUAUGUACUUAUAUAUGUAUAUGUGUAAAUAUAUGUAAAUAUAUUAUAUAUAAAAUAUUAUAAGGUGCAACAGAUUGUACAGGUACAGAAGUGACAUGGAUCUGCAUCGGAUGUAUCUAGUGGUAACAGAUGGAUUAUUGUAUUAAAUGCAGUUGAAAGACACCACAUUACCUAUGAAUCUUUGUAAAUCAUAUAAAAUAUAUUUACUGGUAAAUAUAUACCAUAUAAAAUAUUUACCGGAGGAUU